ACCUGGCUGGCUCAGUCGGUAGAGCAUGUGACUCUUGAUCACAGGGUUGUGAGUUUGAGCCUCACAUUGGAUA
This 73-nucleotide transfer RNA is filed under the name Felis catus (domestic cat). It matches the Rfam family "tRNA". Rfam says of the family: Transfer RNA (tRNA) molecules are approximately 80 nucleotides in length. Their secondary structure includes four short double-helical elements and three loops (D, anti-codon, and T loops). Lineage: Eukaryota; Metazoa; Chordata; Mammalia; Carnivora; Felidae. RNAcentral also lists the same sequence under 3 other names. The record is from Rfam by way of RNAcentral.